ACGCACGCUGGCGGCGUGCUUAACACAUGCCAGUCGCACGGAAAGGCCCUGCUUUUGUGGGGUGCUCGAGUGGCGAACGGGUGAGUAACACGUGAGUAACCUGCCCUUGACUUUGGGGUAACUUCAGGAAACUGGGGCUAAUACCGGAUAGGAGCUCCUGCUGCAUGGUGGGGGUUGGAAAGUUUCGGCGGUUGGGGAUGGACUCGCGGCUUAUCAGCUUGUUGGUGGGGUAGUGGCUUACCAAGGCUUUGACGGGUAGCCGGCCUGAGAGGGUGACCGGCCACAUUGGGACUGAGAUACGGCCCAGACUCCUACGGGAGGCAGCAGUGGGGAAUAUUGCACAAUGGGCGGAAGCCUGAUGCAGCAACGCCGCGUGCGGGAUGACGGCCUUCGGGUUGUAAACCGCUUUCGCCUGUGACGAAGCGUGAGUGACGGUAAUGGGUAAAGAAGCACCGGCUAACUACGUG
RNAcentral lists this ribosomal RNA (467 nucleotides) under uncultured bacterium. RNAcentral describes it as "partial 16S ribosomal RNA". It matches the Rfam family "Bacterial small subunit ribosomal RNA", at positions 29 to 507 of the family's 1533-position model. The record is from RNAcentral.